AUGGGCACGAGUGUCCUCUGCUGCCUGGUGCUUUGUCUCCUGGGAGCAGGUUCUUUUGUUGCUGAAGUCAUCCAGACUCCAGGACAUCUUGUCAAAACAAAAGGACAGAAAGCAAAGAUGAACUGUGUCCCCACCACAGGACAUACCGCUGUUUACUGGUAUCAACAGAAGCCCAACAAAGAGCUUCAGUUCUUGAUUUACUUUCUGAACCGAGAAGUUCUUGAGCAAAUCGAGAUGGUCAAGCAGCGAUUCACAGUUGAGUACCCCAAAAACUCCUCCUGCAGCUUGGAAAUCCAGUCCUCUGAACCAGGAGACUCAGCCCUCUACUUCUGCGCCAGCAGUCCAUCCACAGCGCUGAAGCGUUGGUUCCUCUUGGUGCAUAAACCCAUCACGGCCGACUCAGGAAGCAGGCGAUGCAUUCGGUUGGAAGGAAGUAACAGAGAUCAGCUGGAGCCCAUAUAA
Molecule: non-coding RNA, 462 nt
Organism: Urocitellus parryii (Arctic ground squirrel)
Lineage: Eukaryota; Metazoa; Chordata; Mammalia; Rodentia; Sciuridae
Source: the annotation of a RefSeq genome assembly